UAAAUUAUUUUUUUUAAAACUACCACUAAUUUACUACACUAAUGUUUUUUUUUCUCCUUUUUCAUUAAGCUAUGCUAAAAAAAUAAAGAGAAAGAAGCUAAUCUAAAAAUUACUAAAUUAUAAUAAAAAUAAAAACUAACAACCAACCUACUAUAUAUAUGCUCCAGAUAAUCCCCCACCCAUACUUAUCUCAUGUAGUGUCCUCAAUGAAUAUAAAAUAAUGAAAAUUAAGUGAGGUGGUAAGAAAAUCUUCCUGGUCACUCCUCAUCAUCGCCCUCAUCAUAGAAGGCCAUAUCAGCAGCUGCCCAAUCUUCAUCAUCAUCUCCUGGCUUAGCAUCCUCCUCAGCUUCAUCCUCAAGCUGCUCUGGCUCGGCCUCUCAAUAUUUGGGCGUGUUGAAAUCUUCGUCCUCAGCAAACUAGACUUGAAGAACCAAGAACAAGGAAAAGAUGACAAAAACUUAUAGAAGGGCAAAAAUGCAGCAGGUAAGCGACUGCAAAAGUGAUGUGUGGGCCUAAAACAAACCGCAGAGUGAAGCGGAUACACCCAACUUUUAGAAUCAAUUUUGCGGUAAAUUUUGUUAUCGCAUAACGCUUGUGCGGACCGCAUAAUGACCGCAGAAGUUCAAAGAGUGUUUUUGCGAGAACAAUUCUGCGGCAUCAAAUGAGACCGGGAAGUCAAUGUGCGGACCACAUAAUGGAUCUGCAAUGGAAAACUGGGCAACUGGACAUUCAAGUAUGCGAUGAAAUUGUAGUUAUGCGGGCCGCAAAAGUGUUUUGCGGCUUGUUCUACAAUCGCAGAUGUGAUUUGCAGGGGUAUUUUUGUUAUAUUUUGACGCUGACUUUUAGUCCAUUAUAAAUAGAAUAACUAGGGUUUUGUGGGCCAUCUUGUCUGGAAAAAAGGCAUUAAAUACACCAUUAUUUUGGAAGCUUUGGAAGAAGAGAAUAUUGUCAUCUUUGUAAGCCUUAUGACUUUAUAUAUUGCUUUGUUUUUGGAUUA
Non-coding RNA from Nicotiana tabacum (common tobacco), 997 nucleotides. The record is from RefSeq and is a predicted model, not a curated record. NCBI's taxonomy places the organism in Eukaryota, Viridiplantae, Streptophyta, Magnoliopsida, Solanales, Solanaceae.